RNAcentral lists this long non-coding RNA (712 nucleotides) under Vigna radiata. RNAcentral's name for it is "long non-coding RNA (VRAD_LNC003945)". Lineage: Eukaryota; Viridiplantae; Streptophyta; Magnoliopsida; Fabales; Fabaceae. The record is from RNAcentral.
AGCAGAUGAAAGAAAUCCUCCCUCAUCCUUACCCAUGCAAGAAGUUCAAGCGGAUGGGAGCAAGACAAUUAAUUCAAGCAGCUCCAACGAUGAUUCAGGCUCUUCAUCAAGUGUUACUUUGAUUAAUUAUUUAGUCAAGAGAUAUCUUGACCAUUAUUAUUCUUGAUACUGCAUGCUCAUUUUUCGUUUUGGUCAAGUGUUCUGUCUGAUUUUUAUUUAUUUUACUCUUGCAGAUUUGGAUACUGGUAGUUCCUCAGCCUCUGGGUCUAAUGUUGGGUAAUAGAGAACCUAAAUUCAUUUUUGUCAGGUAGAAUCACAACUUCCAAAUAUUUAUUUCACUAUAUGCUCUGCUUUGUACUCCCAUCUUUUCAUUUUGUAGAGUGACAUAUGUAUCUUUCAAUAUGAUUUUUCUCGUAACUAUCAUGAUUGUUUAACUCAUGACUCUUACUGGUUUACCAUAAAUGUUUUUUCAAUUGAAUUCAUCCUGGAUGCUCCAUGUUUGUUAUUGAUUUUUACUGUUUACUUUUCUAUUCAAGCUUAAUAUUUUUGCAAUUUGAAAACUUAAGUCGAUCUUGUUAUAGGUUUAAUAUUUGUGAUUUAAAUUUUAACACUGGUAGGUAUCUCUUUCUGCCUUCUUUUACCAUGUGGAUGUCUUGUUUCAUUCAUUUUAAUGUGAUUUUCAUAAGAUUAAAUGAUUGGAGAAAUGAGAUGC